UUUCUUUUUCUUUUUUAAAGAAAAGACAAAUAUAUGAAAAAAAAAAAGUACGAUGUAUCAUUUUGGCUGCCAGUUGCUAUGAUGUUAUUGUACACUGAACGGUAACAUUGAGUCUGUUGCCCUUUGCUACCCAGUUGUUCAAAUAUUAGUGCUCUUGUUUUUAUAACAUUGUUUUAAGCUUUAACUAACAAUCUAAAUUGAUAUUGAAAUCAACCUACUUUAGCCUCCAGCAUCUUUAGCAUUUAUUAAUCUGCAGAAAACUUCUAACCCUUUAACUCAAUCGGGUCAGAUCUUUAUGGGUGAUCUAUUAUUGCAUGCUGCAACAGAUGAAACCAACCAUCAGUGUAAGACAACUCCAGCUGUCCACUUAAAAGUCGCAAACAUUUUAGCUUUAGACAAAAGAAUGCCCCGAAAAUUUGAAUAUGGAAUAUAAAUCAUUCAUUGCAGAAAUUUGGAAAGAGAUGAAACAACUCUUCAUAAGGUAAUGGUAUUUUCAUGUCAAGUUAAAUUAUGAGCUCAAUUGAAUUACUUUCGGCUGCGACCCUUUUUCUAGAACAAAGGGUAGGGCAUUGAGGGUGUUCAAAAAGAUGGUAGAAUUUUCAGGCACAUACCAGUAUAUUGUCAAAGUCACUCAGCUUUUGGCUACCAUGAAUUUAAGCUUUUGCAACCAGUUCACGUGUUGAUCUUGCUGUACAUGGAGGAGAAGAUAGUUGGUUAAGUGUUCUCCAAUUCCUCUGGCAACUAGAUAUUCCUUGAGCGCGACUUGUAAUUGAGGGUCCAAAGAA
This 785-nucleotide long non-coding RNA is filed under the name Citrus x clementina. RNAcentral describes it as "Citrus clementina (C. clementina) long non-coding RNA (CCLE_LNC000465)". The record is from RNAcentral. Lineage: Eukaryota; Viridiplantae; Streptophyta; Magnoliopsida; Sapindales; Rutaceae.